GACGAACGCUGGCGGCGUGCUUAACACAUGCAAGUCGAACGGUGAAAGCGGAGCUUGCUCCGCCGGAUCAGUGGCGAACGGGUGAGUAACACGUGGGCAACCUGCCCCUGACUUCGGAAUAACUCCUUGAACGAGGUGCUAAUACAGGAUACGAAUCCCGCAGGCAUCUGCGGGAUUGGAAAGAUUUUCGGUUAGGGAUGGGCCCGCGGCCUACUCGCUUGUUGGUGAGGUAGUGGCUCACCAAGGCGACGACGGGUAGCCGGCCUGAGAGGGCGACCGGCCACACUGGGACUGGGACACGGCCCAGACUCCUACGGGAGGCAGCAGUGGGGAAUAUUGCGCAAUGGGCCAAAGCCUGACGCAGCAACGCCGCGUGAGGGGUGACGGCCUUCGGGUUGUAAACCUCUUCAGCAGGGAAGAAGCGAAAGUGACGGUACCUGCAGAAAAAGCACCGGCUAACUACGUGCCAGCAGCCGCCGUAA
Molecule: ribosomal RNA, 482 nt
Filed under: uncultured bacterium
Lineage: Bacteria
Description: partial 16S ribosomal RNA
Rfam family: Bacterial small subunit ribosomal RNA
Source: RNAcentral